RNAcentral lists this long non-coding RNA (209 nucleotides) under Ricinus communis (castor bean). Its description in RNAcentral is "long non-coding RNA (RCOM_LNC000954)". Lineage: Eukaryota; Viridiplantae; Streptophyta; Magnoliopsida; Malpighiales; Euphorbiaceae. The record is from RNAcentral.
UAGCAACUUGUAUUAAGUCUGGAACACAAGAACAUGAUAAAAUAAUUAAAUGAUUUUAUAGUCUUGAUCAAAAUACAGUGUUUACACUGAGCACAAUAAACAAGCAUGUGAAAUCUGUCCUACAGGACCACAAGAGCAUCUUUAGUCCUAAAAGCAACAAAAAAAGUUCCUAAUGUAUUAAACAAUGAUAAGGCCAAGCUAAGGCUUGU